UCACACACUAGAGGUCCCCG
This 20-nucleotide non-coding RNA is filed under the name Arabidopsis thaliana (thale cress). The record is from RNAcentral. Lineage: Eukaryota; Viridiplantae; Streptophyta; Magnoliopsida; Brassicales; Brassicaceae.